RNAcentral lists this ribosomal RNA (443 nucleotides) under uncultured bacterium. RNAcentral's name for it is "partial 16S ribosomal RNA". It matches the Rfam family "Bacterial small subunit ribosomal RNA", at positions 338 to 795 of the family's 1533-position model. The record is from RNAcentral.
CCUACGGGAGGCAGCAGUGGGGAAUAUUGGGCAAUGGGCGCAAGCCUGACCCAGCAACGCCGCGUGAAGGAAGAAGGCCCUCGGGUUGUAAACCUUUUUUAUUCGGGACGAAACAAAUGACGGUACCGAAUGAAUAAGCCAAGGCUAUAUACGUGCCAGCAGCCGCGGUAAUACGUAGGUGGCAAGCGUUAUCCGGAUUUACUGGGUGUAAAGGGCGCGUAGGCGGGAGAGCAAGUCAGACGUGAAAUUCCGCGGCUCAACCCUGAAAUUGCAUUUGAAACUGUACUUCUUGAGUAACGGGGAGGCAGGCGGAAUUCCGUGUGUAGCGGUGAAAUGCGUAGAUAUACGGAGGAACACCGGUGGCGAAGGCAGCCUGCUAAACAUUGACUGACGCUGAUGCGCGAAAGCGUGGGGAGCAAACAGGAUUAGAUACCCGAGUAGUC